This 443-nucleotide ribosomal RNA is filed under the name uncultured bacterium. Its description in RNAcentral is "bacterial SSU rRNA". It matches the Rfam family "Bacterial small subunit ribosomal RNA", at positions 29 to 517 of the family's 1533-position model. The record is from RNAcentral.
AACGAACGCUGGCGGCAGGCCUAACACAUGCAAGUCGAGCGGGACCUUCGGGUCUAGCGGCGGACGGGUUAGUAACGCGUGGGAACGUGCCCAAAGGUACGGAAUAGCCUCGGGAAACUGAGAGUAAUACCGUAUGUGCCCCUCGGGGGAAAGAUUUAUCGCCUUUGGAUCGGCCCGCGUUGGAUUAGGUAGUUGGUGGGGUAAUGGCCUACCAAGCCGACGAUCCAUAGCUGGUUUGAGAGGAUGAUCAGCAACACUGGGACUGAGACACGGCCCAGGCUCCUACGGGAGGCAGCAGUGGGGAAUCUUAGACAAUGGGGGAAACCCUGAUCUAGCCAUGCCGCGUGAGCGAUGAGGGCCUUAGGGUUGUAAAGCUCUUUCAGAUGGGAAGAUAAUGACGGUACCAUCAGAAGAAGCCCCGGCUAACUCCGUGCCAGCAGCCG